Molecule: microRNA precursor, 158 nt
Filed under: Brachypodium distachyon (stiff brome)
Lineage: Eukaryota; Viridiplantae; Streptophyta; Magnoliopsida; Poales; Poaceae
Description: MIR2118 microRNA precursor family
Rfam family: MIR2118 microRNA precursor family
Source: Rfam by way of RNAcentral
GUCUGGAAGAGGAAGAGAGAGUCCCUAAGGGCAGUGGGAAUAGGAACAUGGAGGAAAGCCUAGAGCUUUCCAGUAUCGGAGGUAGAGAUUUGCUUUGUGUUUUCCCGAUGCCUCCUAUUCCUAUCGAUCUUAGGUACUCCUUCCACUUCCUUUAGCUU